GUGCAUGCGGCGUGCUUAGACUGCAGUCGAACGCAGCUUCUUCGGAGGCUGAGUGGCGCAGGGGUGAGUAACGCGUAACUGACCUGCCCCCAACUCUGGAAUAACCCUCCGAAAGGAGGGCUAAUACCGGAUGUGCUGUCCAGUCUUGUCUGGCCAGUAAAGGCGCGAGCCGCUUGGGGAUGGGGUUGCGUUCCAUCAUCUUGUUGGUGGGGUAAGGGCCUACCGGGGAGACGACGGAUAACCGGCCUGAGAGGGUGGCCGGUCACAGGGGCACUGACACACGGGUCCCACUCCUACGGGAGGCAGCAGUUAAGAAUCUUCCCCUGUGGACAAAAGUCUGAGGGAGCGACCCCGCGUGAGGGAUGAGGGUCUUCGGAUUGUAAACCUCUGAAUCAGGGACGAAGGGCGCAUAAGCGAUAUGACGGUACCUGAGUAACAGCACCGGCUAACUCCGUGCCAGCACCCGCGGUAAUACGGAGGGUGCAAGCGUUACCCGGAAUCAGUGGGCGUAAAGGGCGUGUACGCGGUACGUUAAGUCUGACUUUAAAGACCGUGGCUCAACCACAGAAGUGGGUUGGAUACUGGCGUGCUAGACCUCUGGAGAGGCAACUGGAAUUCCUGGUGUAGCGGUGGAAUGCGUAGAUACCAAGAGGAACACCUAUGGCGAAGGCAGGUUGCUGGACAGAAUGUGACUCUGACGCGCGAAAGUGUGGGGAGCGAACCAGAUUAGAUACCCGGAUAGUCCACACUCUACACUAUGUACGUUGGCUGAUGGCGAUAUGCCCUCGUGGGCGAAGCUA
Molecule: ribosomal RNA, 800 nt
Filed under: Deinococcus murrayi
Lineage: Bacteria; Thermotogati; Deinococcota; Deinococci; Deinococcales; Deinococcaceae
Description: bacterial SSU rRNA
Rfam family: Bacterial small subunit ribosomal RNA
Source: RNAcentral